GAUGAACGCCGGCGGCAUGCCUAAUACAUGCAAGUCGAACGAAGUGGCGAACGGGUGAGUAACACGUAGGUAACCUGCCCAUGUGCCCGGGAUAACUUCUGGAAACGGAUGCUAAAACCGGAUAAACAUGGAUGGACCUGCGGUGCAUUAGCUAGUUGGUGAGGUAACGGCCCACCAAGGCGACGAUGCAUAGCCGGCCUGAGAGGGCGGACGGCCACAUUGGGACUGAGACACGGCCCAAACUCCUACGGGAGGCAGCAGUAGGGAAUUUUCGUCAAUGGGGGGAACCCUGAACGAGCAAUGCCGCGUGAGUGAGGAAGGUCUUCGGAUCGUAAAGCUCUGUUGUAAGAGAAAUGGUAUCUUACCAGAAAGUCACGGCUAACUACGUGCCAGCAGCCGCGGUAAUACGUAGGUGGCGAGCGUUAUCCGGAAUGAUUGGGCGUAAAGGGUGCGUAGGUGGCAGAUCAAGUCUGGAGUAAAAGGUAUGGGCUCAACCCGUACUGGCUCUGGAAACUGAUCAGCUAGAGAACAGAAGAGGACGGCGGAACUCCAUGUGUAGCAGUAAAAUGCGUAGAUAUAUGGAAGAACACCGGUGGCGAAGGCGGCCGUCUGGUCUGAUUCUGACACUGAAGCACGAAAGCGUGGGGAGCAAAUAGGAUUAGAUACCCUAGUAGUCCACGCCGUAAACGAUGAGAACUAGGUGUUGGGCAGUGCCGCAGUUAACGCAAUAAGUUCUCCGCCUGGGGAGUAUGCACGCAAGUGUGCAACUCAAAGGAAUUGACGGA
Molecule: ribosomal RNA, 785 nt
Filed under: uncultured bacterium
Lineage: Bacteria
Description: bacterial SSU rRNA
Rfam family: Bacterial small subunit ribosomal RNA
Source: RNAcentral